CUCAUUCUUGCAGAAUAGAUCAAACUCACCUUUGCAAAAUUCCAAACCGUUAUCUGUUCGAAAGCGCUUGAUCCUUUUCCCUGUCUGCUUCUCGAUCAAUGCCUUCCAUUGCAAAAAGGAGAAGGACCCCAUAAAUUUGAGUGGAUGUAGUCUACUGUACUCUUGGUUCGAUGUGUAGCAAUGCUAAAUUUCACUCGGUGUUGUUUGCCAUA
Theobroma cacao (cacao) is the source of this 212-nucleotide non-coding RNA. The record is from RefSeq and is a predicted model, not a curated record. Lineage: Eukaryota; Viridiplantae; Streptophyta; Magnoliopsida; Malvales; Malvaceae.